UUGGGAACAAAAUUUCCAAAGUAUAAAAUCAUAAAGAAGAGGGAGUGAUAAAUACUCAGUAGUCUAUAGUUAAAGGACCUCUCAGAUGAGCCUACCUAGCUGGUUUUAGCUACUCUACCACGCUUAUUCUUUUUCCUGAUUAAAUAACAUAAAUGACAUUGUGUAAAUGUAUAUAGCUAUGUUAUAUUACAAUAUAUAGCCCUAAUAUUUGUAUGGACUGCACUUCAGGUUGGAACAAACAGCUUCCCAACUGCUUCUACAUUCUCCACUUUUACCAUCACAGCACUUGCAUACAAGCCCAAGAGUUGAAUAAGUUGAACCCCUUGAGUACCCUAUAUAUAUCAACAUACAUUUUACAUUUAUAUAUGCUGUAAAUAUAGGAACAAAACAUAAAAAAUAAAUAAAACAAGAGAGCAAAGUUAGAUGAAAAAUGUAUAUAUCCUUUUAUGUGCAUCAACUUCAAUGCCAUUUCUCAAUUAGAUUAAGAGUAAUCUAUUUUGAGGCUUAGAGAUUAUUGGAUUAAAUUUUACUUUUCCUUAAAUAGUUUUUUCCAUACACAUAGAAAUCCAAUUUUUGAUAUAGUUAACAACUCAUUCAUAAACCAAAUAAGUUAAGUUAGUUGGGAUCCCACUGGACACUAUUUUCUUAUAUAUAUUAAAAUACAUCUUUACACUUAAAUUUAAAUCAUCUAUAAUCUAUUUAUUGUCAUUUUCAAAUAAAAAAUUCUUCUGAUUACUGAUUAUAAAGUAAGCAUAAAAUUAUUCUAUACAUUAUACAUACAAAGAGAGAUUCUCCCUUAAAAUUUACCUUUUCUGUGGAUGGUUAGAACCCGAGUGGCUUCCACACCAUUUAGGUUAGGGUGAAUUAUUAAGAGACAAGCAAAAAAGA
This 888-nucleotide long non-coding RNA is filed under the name Lupinus angustifolius (narrow-leaved blue lupine). RNAcentral describes it as "long non-coding RNA (LANG_LNC000573)". Lineage: Eukaryota; Viridiplantae; Streptophyta; Magnoliopsida; Fabales; Fabaceae. The record is from RNAcentral.